Long non-coding RNA from Aquila chrysaetos chrysaetos, 4020 nucleotides. RefSeq lists it as uncharacterized. The record is from RefSeq and is a predicted model, not a curated record. Lineage: Eukaryota; Metazoa; Chordata; Aves; Accipitriformes; Accipitridae. The transcript has 3 exons.
GCAGCACCAGGAGGAGGGCGAGCCCUGCGGGAACUUGGCCGAGUCGGGUGCGAUGCAGACGCUGGAGCCGAGGGGGGAAAUUGAGAGCAAUGAAAGAUCCAGUUUUCCACAGCAUCAGAAACUACUUCAACUACACUGAGUGGAGAUUGUAUUUCUAGCUGUGUAGUUAGAAACAGAAUUAGUUCAUAGAUACCCAACUGUGAAUUAAAUGGCUGCAAAUGUUAUCUUGACACAAAACCAUGGUGCUUCCUCACAUAUCCCCCGUCCUUCAAAACUGUCAGUUUGAUCAAUCAGAUGAACAUCACUCGAUGGAUCAACUGAAGUAGAUUGUUGCCUUAGAUGAUUUCCUCAUUUGCUAUAGAAACUGGAGAGCAUGGAAUGAAGAAGGGACGACGCUGGAGGAGUGGAAUGAAUGCUAACCUGAAGAACUAGAAUCUAAUUCAGUCUUUGCCAGACAAUUCUUGUAUGCCACCUGGCAAGUUAUUUAAACCGAUUUUUUUACUAAGUAGAUCUGUUUGCUUAAGUUAGAAGUCUAACCUCCUUCUCAACUACAGCUGAGGAAAAGAGGCCAGCUCUGCUCAGAGCACACAUUUUGGAGUCCUCCUAUCUCUAUGGCUAAACAUUCAUCCUCAAUUUCUAGAUUAAAGGCAUAGAGAGAAUAUCAUCUCCCAUGGCGAGUUUCUUCUUUUCUAAGUGGUAAACUCAGAAUGUGUGGAAUGAGAUUGGCAGAUGCCCUGAACACUCAGCUGAAAAGGAUAUUAGCAAGCCUUUUGCUCUGAACGCACACAGCAGUAAACACACUGAAAACACUACAUGCCAAUGCAGACCUAGCAGAAACUUGAUAGAUUGGGCUUUCACCUCUUAUUUCCCAAAGGUGUAAAAGUGAAACAAUCAGAUAUGAUGGCGAUAACAACAGAAACUACCCAGAAACCCACCACAAGGAAAUGAAUUCUUUACUUAGUGCAGAUGUAACUCUGAGGCAGACAACUGGCAUGGAAAAUAUCAACAGAAAGCAUCAGAAUAUAUGUAAGUUCUAAUACAGGGUCUCAGCUUAAGAAAACCUUUACUAGAGGCUGGCCUAGCAGCUCUGCGACUUAUAUACCAUCUCUGCAGCGGACAGAAGCUUAGCUGCAUGCAUCUGUGUAUGAAACUAUGCUACAGCACAUUAAAUACCACAAGCACAUUUCCGGCAGCAUGUUGUCUCAUUAACAAAUCUACUUCCAUUUCCUGCAUGUCCUCUGAAAAUAAAGGUCACGCUUUUACGGUGUUUGAUCAUAACACCACAAGCGACUCCCUUUACAAGGUUCAAGAUUCUUCUCUAAAAGGCAAGAUGCCCAAGAUGAAGGACAAAAAUUUAAAACUAGGCAAAUGACCAGAGCAAGCAUCUGUGACAGUAUUUAGAACUUAAGAUUAAAGAGUGUAAAUAGGCAUGACUCCCUUCAAAGCAUGUCCACGACACUUCUGUACACAUACCUUGAGGGGGCGGUGUGACACAAAGUAUUGUGCAAAGGUCCCGGGUAGUGCCAAAGGACAGAAGUGUUCUUCAUUCCCCGCUGCUUACACUACGUGAACUUCUACUUCCACUGGAUUAAUGGUUCUCUUCAGUGGUAAGGACAGAUACCUCAUUUCUUAAUGAGUUGCUUCUUGUGGGGAAUAAUGUUGACUAUAGCAGUACAAUUGUAUUAGGCCGAUAUAGAUUCCAUCAGAGCAGAAGAUUACCUUUUUUUAAGUCUAAUUCAAGUAUGUAUCUGAGGUCUACAGAGCAGCUGUGCUCCCUAAAACACACAGAAAAGAAGGAAACUGGCCAAAGAAAUUGCAUGCUAUCGAUAGGAUCCAUGUGGCCUGGAUUGUGUACAAACAUGCACACACACAUAUAUAUGGGUUUUUUUUCCUUGUAUAUUUUCCUCUGUGUGUGUGUAUAUAUAUAUGUUUCUCUAGAAGAAUGUUCCUUCACGCAAUCAGAACUACGGAUCAGAUUCCCCAGGUGGUAUACACUAGAGUUCUAUUAACUUGAGUCCAGACUAGCUGAGAAGCUGCCUUUGUUUCUUUCAAAUGAAAUCAACAGGUUGUUUCACUCUUCCUCCAAACCCAUGAGUCAGAAUGGGCCAAAGGCACAAUUUGUUAAUGUGUUACUGUCACAUGUCCUUUUCCACAGUUUAUGUUUGCCCAAAGAGAUCGAGUGUUUUCUGGGCCUUGACUACAAACUGGUAUUCCAUGAAGUCUAUUGUAACAGAUUUGAUCUUCCCAUUGCUGAGCAUGCCUGCAAAAUCCAGUUCCUAGAAGUAGACAUUUUGGAAAAGGUAUUUUGAGGUGAUGCAGUCCUCUAGACUGGAUACUCCUCUGCAGGAAACAAACAGCACCGUAGUAUUAAAAGUAUCUGAAAUAAUCUUGUCAUUUGCAACAGUGUUAAGAAUGCUAAAUGGGAAUGCAAAAAGUGGGAAAUCUGCUGCAGCCUGAUCUCCCAGUUGAAAUCCUGAGGACGUGGCUCUAGUUCCCUGUAUUCUGAGAGCCGUAGCUGGGGAAAAGAGCAGUAGUAGAAGGAAGAGAGUAGUGCAACAGACAAGCAAAGAGCUGUAGUCUUUUUACCAGAAAUUUCCAUUUUCAACAAAACCAACAGAUAUUCAUAUGAUCUUCUAGUGCUUUGAUUUCUGAAAGCCUAUGCUAAUUUUACAUCACUUUUCCAAGGAUUCCAGAAGCAUCCUAUCAAACAAAGGCAAAGCUUUAACUCUGAUCCAAACUUUGCUUUGUCUGCACUAUCACAGCCUGGUCACAAUGCAAGGUAUAAAUAAAGAUGAAUGUGACUAUUCUGCGUGGUGGGUUUUUUGAACCAAGGGAGAUGUGAAAAAUAAAUGCUACAAAUAAACUGAAUGGUUUUUAAAUUUUCCACAUUGCUUUCUUAAUGUGUUAUUUGUACAGAUGAAGGGUUAUUUUAAUUCAUGCUUUAAACAAAUGCCUGAAAGUUCUCAUACGUCUGGCAGCUUUCAACACCACCUUCAUCAAUUGUUAUACUGUCCUCCAGAGUCUGUUCAGUAAUGCAAGUGCAUCAGGGUGACAUCCAGCAGUAUUAUUUCAUCUCACUGGCAUUUAGCUUUUACUGUAAUCAGUUAUGUAAAUUUUAUAUUAUAUUAUUUCCAAAUGUAGUCUUGAAAAUACAAUAAUGAUUCUGUACUUGUGCUUAAGCUACUUUUAAGAUCAGCAGGCUUUAUUUCAUCCUAUCUUAAUCAAAAUAGAACAUUUUACAGCCAACAUAACUAAUUUCUCUUCAUCACAACUGAACAAGGCUUACUCACUAAUUUUUGGCAAACAAGGGGACUACAGGUAUAUUAAAAAAAAAAAUAGGCAGCUCAGUUUACAUACUGUGUCAGAGCACAGAGAACUCCCAAACAUCCCGUUGAAACAAAACCUAGUACUACCUAUUUGCCUGGAAAAUGUGAUAGCUGGGACCAGCCUAUCCACCUAUCUGUUUGAUCAAGGAAGGAGAAACUGUUCAAAAGCACUUGAGUAAUUCCAGAACCUAAAAAUCACUAGUACUAUUUCUUAUGUCACAUGGGGCAAAACCGUAGAUGGUUCUAAGCCACAUACACUGCAUGUUUAAAUAACAAGCAGGUUUUCAAUUUCACCACUACAAUUAGCUUGUUAACAGUCUAAGGAAAAUAGACAAUAAUCCAGUCACAAAAAUUAAAUGAAGAAUUACUCAGAUGAUAAUCUGGGAGGACUGGGAAGAGAAUGAGAUGGUACAGAAUGAUACUAUUUCAGAUAAAACUCAGGAAUCAGAAUGUGAAAUCUAUUUGCCUGUGAAAAGAACAUGUAAAGAAAAUAUUGUAAAAGCAGUGUUUAGAUUAAUUUCUAAAGUUCCAUUCCAAACACUUAAAAAUGGUAUGAUAGAAAACUCCCAGGAUGAACUGGGUGAACUAAUAUGACUUUUUUCACCUCUAACAUCUGUUAUUUCCAUGUAGAAUAUUACUACAGUAAAAGUAUCAUAUGUAUCUGUGAACUGUAACUGUACACAAACAAUUUCAC